Molecule: ribosomal RNA, 1361 nt
Filed under: uncultured bacterium
Lineage: Bacteria
Description: bacterial SSU rRNA
Rfam family: Bacterial small subunit ribosomal RNA
Source: RNAcentral
AUUGAACGCUGGCGGCAGGCCUAACACAUGCAAGUCGAGCGGUAGCACAGAGAGCUUGCUCUCGGGUGACGAGCGGCGGACGGGUGAGUAAUGUCUGGGAAACUGCCUGAUGGAGGGGGAUAACUACUGGAAACGGUAGCUAAUACCGCAUAACGUCGCAAGACCAAAGUGGGGGACCUUCGGGCCUCAUGCCAUCAGAUGUGCCCAGAUGGGAUUAGCUAGUAGGUGGGGUAAUGGCUCACCUAGGCGACGAUCCCUAGCUGGUCUGAGAGGAUGACCAGCCACACUGGAACUGAGACACGGUCCAGACUCCUACGGGAGGCAGCAGUGGGGAAUAUUGCACAAUGGGCGCAAGCCUGAUGCAGCCAUGCCGCGUGUGUGAAGAAGGCCUUCGGGUUGUAAAGCACUUUCAGCGGGGAGGAAGGCGGUGAGGUUAAUAACCUCAUCGAUUGACGUUACCCGCAGAAGAAGCACCGGCUAACUCCGUGCCAGCAGCCGCGGUAAUACGGAGGGUGCAAGCGUUAAUCGGAAUUACUGGGCGUAAAGCGCACGCAGGCGGUCUGUCAAGUCGGAUGUGAAAUCCCCGGGCUCAACCUGGGAACUGCAUUCGAAACUGGCAGGCUAGAGUCUUGUAGAGGGGGGUAGAAUUCCAGGUGCAGCGGUGAAAUGCGUAGAGAUCUGGAGGAAUACCGGUGGCGAAGGCGGCCCCCUGGACAAAGACUGACGCUCAGGUGCGAAAGCGUGGGGAGCAAACAGGAUUAGAUACCCUGGUAGUCCACGCCGUAAACGAUGUCGAUUUGGAGGUUGUGCCCUUGAGGCGUGGCUUCCGGAGCUAACGCGUUAAAUCGACCGCCUGGGGAGUACGGCCGCAAGGUUAAAACUCAAAUGAAUUGACGGGGGCCCGCACAAGCGGUGGAGCAUGUGGUUUAAUUCGAUGCAACGCGAAGAACCUUACCUGGUCUUGACAUCCACAGAACUUUCCAGAGAUGGAUUGGUGCCUUCGGGAACUGUGAGACAGGUGCUGCAUGGCUGUCGUCAGCUCGUGUUGUGAAAUGUUGGGUUAAGUCCCGCAACGAGCGCAACCCUUAUCCUUUGUUGCCAGCGGUCCGGCCGGGAACUCAAAGGAGACUGCCAGUGAUAAACUGGAGGAAGGUGGGGAUGACGUCAAGUCAUCAUGGCCCUUACGACCAGGGCUACACACGUGCUACAAUGGCAUAUACAAAGAGAAGCGACCUCGCGAGAGCAAGCGGACCUCAUAAAGUAUGUCGUAGUCCGGAUUGGAGUCUGCAACUCGACUCCAUGAAGUCGGAAUCGCUAGUAAUCGUAGAUCAGAAUGCUACGGUGAAUACGUUCCCGGGCCU